CGGUGGAGCAUGUGGUUUAAUUCGAUGCAACGCGAAGAACCUACCUGCCCUUGACAUGCCAAGAAUCCCGCAGAGAUGUGGGAGUGCCUUCGGGAGCUUGGACACAGGUGCUGCAUGGCUGUCGUCAGCUCGUGUCGUGAGAUGUUGGGUUAAGUCCCGCAACGAGCGCAACCCUUGUCUCUAGUUACUAACAGUUCGGCUGAGCACUCUAGAGAGACUGCCGGUGUUAAACCGGAGGAAGGUGGGGAUGACGUCAAGUCCUCAUGGCCUUUAUGUCCAGGGCUGCACACGUGCUACAAUGGCGUGAACAAAGUGACGCGACUUUGCGAAAAGAAGCAAAUCACAUAAAUCACGCCCCAGUUCAGAUCGAAGGCUGCAACUCGCCUUCGUGAAGCCGGAAUCGCUAGUAAUCGCGGGUCAGCAACACCGCGGUGAAUGUGUUCCUGAGCCUU
Molecule: ribosomal RNA, 452 nt
Filed under: uncultured Acidithiobacillales bacterium
Lineage: Bacteria; Pseudomonadati; Pseudomonadota; Acidithiobacillia; Acidithiobacillales
Description: bacterial SSU rRNA
Rfam family: Bacterial small subunit ribosomal RNA
Source: RNAcentral